CGAAUAGGAACAGCUCCGGUCUACAGCUCCCAGCGUGAGCAAAGCAGAAGACGGGUGAUUUCUGCAUUUCCAUCUGAGGCAAUGGGGAGUCACUGGAAUGCUUGAACAACGUUACUUUAAGAUGAUUUUGACAAUGCGUGGAGACUAGAUCAAAGGAAAGAGAUGCUGGAUGUCAGUGUCCAAAGUGUCCUUGGAAGCCACAUGUUGAAGACACCAAAGCUUCUGAAAGCCUGAACGGCUGCAUGGUGUGGAUUCUUCUCUCCCCAGCCCCAUCUCCCCAACACUGCUGCUGUUAGACUUAACAAAAGCUAGAAAUAAACUUCUACUGAGUUAAUACUCUGAGAUUUCAGGUUUUAUCUUUUAGCCACAGAGAUUCCAGAGUUUAUCUGCUAACUAAAAGACGAAUGCUGCAACUCAGCUGAUAAUGGACUCUAUCCCACUUGCGAUACAAAUCUGGGUUUCUAGCCAACAGCAGCUCUUAAAUUCCAUUUAUUUGGAGACUAUAAAAUUGAUUCACACACCAAACACCUGUUUAGCUUCCUACAUAGGGAAUCUAUGUCCACAAGUGACUCAUACUACAGAGUUUCAACAUGCAGUCUCUUCUCAGGCUGAGUUUUAGACUGAGGCCAGUGUUCAUGGGGACCCACCUUGGGCGUAGAAAGCCAUGGAGGCCUGAACAGCUAACCAGAUGGUUAGAAACAUCACUCUGACUAAACCUUACAUACUGUGCCCUCACACAUAUGUCUUCUCAUUCUACUGGGGAUGAGGGCCACCAAGGGCCCUCAUAGCCACAUAGGAAAGUUACCCAGCAUAAGAAAAUGACAGAACCAGGACUGAAGGCUG
Molecule: long non-coding RNA, 843 nt
Filed under: Homo sapiens (human)
Lineage: Eukaryota; Metazoa; Chordata; Mammalia; Primates; Hominidae
Description: HSALNT0028152
Source: RNAcentral